UACUGCUCGUCGUAUCUAAGUAGUCUGUCCCGUAAACACAGUCUCCUCUACUCUCUCUUUCUCACCGCUCCCAUCGCGUCUCCUUCCCCUCCGGCGACGGCCUCCCGUUCCGCCUCCCUCCACCUCCCUCGCGCAUCCAUCCCGUCGAUCUGCCACCCAUCCCUCCCCAUCCUGGUAGCCGGCGGCGCUCCGCAGCCACUGAAACACGCGGAGUCUGGUGGCGGUUGGCCGUUUCCCUCAGCGCCCACCUCCGCCGCACUGCACUCGCUGGCCGGAGAGGAGAGCGAGGCCCCCCCGGCCCCCCAGCCUCCCUUUCACCUCUAUGCAUACUCGAUUAGUUGCUAUGCCCCUGUAUUUAGGCGUGUUGCCUUCCGUUUGUAGGAGCACCAUGGAGGAGCCGGCGACUGUGCUUUGGGCCCCUGCUUCUGCUCCUGUACACCGUCGUUCUCAUCGCUGGACAGGGAGAGGUCGGAUCUGAGGCUUCUCCACCAAAUAAUCUCUGGGAUAUCACCGAAUCCGAACAGUAUGUGAGUUCCCGCUUUCCCUUUCCAAUAAAUCCCUGCUUUUUCUUUGUUGAUUCGCCGGAUUCUGCAACCAAUAUCGUUCAUCUCCGGCGUUCGGUUCUAAGAGCUUCAUUUGUGCUCCCUUCCGGUUCUAGGGGAGAGGAGCAUGCGCUCUUAUCUUAUUUGGCUCCGCUCUAUACUUCUGCCAAUGCUGUCCGUUCUGUAUCCAUGUGCACAUUACACUGUUGCUUACAUUCUCUGAUUUAUCUUGCUUAUUUUGACCUGCAACACAUUUGUUCUUCGAAUGAUGUGUGACAACAAUGUACUACUGCUAGAACUGCAUCCUAAAUAUUGAUUGUUCCGUCCCAGUAAUGCUGAUUGUUUUACUUCUUAUAUGUUCUUGUAUUUGUCACUGAGGAAUGCUUUUCAUUUUCAAAGCUAGUCUGCAUAGAAGCUGUAUGUCAUGUUUACUCCUCUCAUUCCAUCUACUGCAAGCUGAAAACCAGUGUACACUGAAUUUUGCUGAAUCUGCUCUUUGUUUGACCAAAAAAAUUAGAGCUUGGGUGAUAAUUUGUCAGCAAUUAGAUAUUCAUUUGUGGAAGCACUUGGCGCCAUACUUGUUGUACAUUGGUCAAGGUUGCCGUGCCUUGCAUUUUUUUUCAUGUAGAAGUCAUUUGCAUGUGAUCUCUGUAAAAAUAAUGUGUUAGCAGGUGUGUUACUUGAUGGAUGCCUCCUCCUGAAGGUAAGAUGCUCGUCUUGAUCAGAACAAUUUUUGUGGGGCUUUAGGCUCGGUCACCAGAGAUGCUUAAGGAUGAGGUUCAACUGUGUUGUGAUAUCCAGGCAAUUUGUGUACAACUUGAAACUGAUCGUGAUGGAAGACAAAGGAAGAACAUCAGAGAGUGUAUUCUUUUUAUUCUGAAGCAAAUCGAACAGCUUAGGAGUGCUUUCAUUUAUUUUGAAUUUGUCUUUGUAAGAAGGGAAGCAUACUGAGCGUCCCAGUUCAUUGCCAAACCCCGUUCUGUUAGCUCCCAGGUUAAUGUUUGGCAUGGACAAGCGCUUGCUUGUAUUGCCCUGUUGUAUGAAUCUACUACUACUUAGUCGAUUGUGGGUUAGUUUUGCACUUGAGGUUUCUGUAGGUUGUCAGCAUCGUUUGUGUUCUCAUUGCUGGUAGAUGGCUGCUGCAUACACUUGGGCAAGAAAGUAGCUGGGCUAGAAAAAAAGAUCUACAAGGAGGAGCAACGCUUGAAGAAGCUCAUGCCGAGCUGCAUUCCUUCACAUGUAGCUACGAUGUAAUGGUUAACCAUCCAAAGUACAGUUUCAGUGUGAUCUAAUGUUUAAUCAAUAUUAAGAAUUCAGAGUUAUUGUGGUUAGCGCUGUAGCGAGCAGCCGCAACCCCUGACUUUAAGUCGUGGUUAGCGCUUGUUCGGUCUACUAUUGUUGAA
Lolium perenne is the source of this 1945-nucleotide long non-coding RNA. RefSeq lists it as uncharacterized. The record is from RefSeq and is a predicted model, not a curated record. NCBI's taxonomy places the organism in Eukaryota, Viridiplantae, Streptophyta, Magnoliopsida, Poales, Poaceae.